ACGCACGCUGGCGGCGUGCUUAACACAUGCCAGUCGAACGGAAAGGCCCCUUUGGGGGUACUCGAGUGGCGAACGGGUGAGUAACACGUGAGUAACCUGCCCUUGACUUCGGGAUAACUUCAGGAAACUGGGGCUAAUACCGGAUAGGAAUCCUUGCUGCAUGGUGGGGGUUGGAAAGCUUCGGCGGUUUUGGAUGGACUCGCGGCUUAUCAGCUUGUUGGUGGGGUAGUGGCUUACCAAGGCUUUGACGGAUAGCCGGCCUGAGAGGGCGACCGGCCACAUUUGGACUGGGUUACGGCCCAGACUCCUCCGGGGGGCAGCAGUGGGGAAUCUUGCACAAUGGGCGGAAGCCUGAUGCAGCAACUCCGCGUGCGGGAUGACGGCCUUCGGGUUGUAAACCGCUUUCAGCAGGGGCGAAGCUUGUGGUGACGGUACCUGCAGAAGAAGCACCGGCUAACUACGUG
This 464-nucleotide ribosomal RNA is filed under the name uncultured bacterium. RNAcentral's name for it is "partial 16S ribosomal RNA". It matches the Rfam family "Bacterial small subunit ribosomal RNA", at positions 29 to 507 of the family's 1533-position model. The record is from RNAcentral.